This 481-nucleotide ribosomal RNA is filed under the name uncultured bacterium. RNAcentral describes it as "bacterial SSU rRNA". It matches the Rfam family "Bacterial small subunit ribosomal RNA", at positions 30 to 504 of the family's 1533-position model. The record is from RNAcentral.
AUUGAACGCUGGCGGAAUGCUUUACACAUGCAAAUCGAACGGCAGCACGGGGGCAACCCUGGUGGCGAGUGGCGAACGGGUGAGUAAUACAUCGGAACGUGCCCAAUCGUGGGGGAUAACGCAGCGAAAGUUGUGCUAAUACCGCAUACGAUCUACGGAUGAAAGCGGGGGAUCGCAAGACCUCGCGCGAGUGGAGCGGCCGAUGGCAGAUUAGGUAGUUGGUGGGGUAAAGGCUCACCAAGCCAACGAUCUGUAGCUGGUCUGAGAGGACGACCAGCCACACUGGGACUGAGACACGGCCCAGACUCCUACGGGAGGCAGCAGUGGGGAAUUUUGGACAAUGGGCGAAAGCCUGAUCCAGCCAUUCCGCGUGCAGGAUGAAGGCCUUCGGGUUGUAAACUGCUUUUGUACGGAACGAAAAGGCUCUGGUUAAUACCUGGGGCUCAUGACGGUACCGUAAGAAUAAGCACCGGCUAACUAC